Gorilla gorilla gorilla (western lowland gorilla) is the source of this 8880-nucleotide RNA transcript. RefSeq lists it as uncharacterized. The transcript is spliced from 9 exons. The record is from RefSeq and is a predicted model, not a curated record. NCBI's taxonomy places the organism in Eukaryota, Metazoa, Chordata, Mammalia, Primates, Hominidae.
GUCAAGAAAGCUUAUUAAGUAGGAUUUCAUAAGACUUAGGUCGAGUUUGGCUUUUAGUUGUGCCUGCCGCCUAUCGAACUCUUAAUUCAUUAUCGUCAUCCGUUAAGUGGACAGCUGACAUUUCCCUGAUCUUUUAUAAAACAUGAGAAUAAGUAUCUUUGGGAAAUCUUUCUAUUUUCAUUAAUCUGUAACUUAUAUUCCAAGUAGAAACUUUCCCUGAAGGGGCAGCUUGUAGUUGUUUACUAGUUUCCUGCUAGCCCUCCCACCACCAUCCACUCUGAUAGCUGUGCUAAGUUCCUUCAUAUGAAAGUUCUGGAGCCAUCACUGUUUUCUCCUGUGAAGGACACAAGCUGUAGUCUUUUCGCUGGGAGAAGCUCCCAUCUGCCUUUCUUUGUAAUAAUGGAGAGAACGCCAUAGUGAAAGGGUUAAAACUCAGCAAACUGCUGAAGAGUGACAAGCCCUAUCACUUAACUGUGAAAUUGCUUGUUAUUCUGUCUUACAAAGGGAGACGUGUUGUUGAGCUGAUUGUCGUAGACAGCUUUUAUUCUCACUUAUCUGUGUGUCUCCUUUGAAAAUGGAACUUGAAAUUCUACCAUCCUCAGUUUUCUGUUUUUAAUUUGAAAAACAGCCAACAUCCCCUGUGAAUUGCAGUAAAGGAACAAAGCAUUAAAAGGCAUAUCCUUUUCCCAACAAAAGCUCACAGUCUAAUCAGUAAAGUAUUUAUUGAGCAACUAUGCCAGGUUUUGAGCUGAGGCUGAGCCUGCAAAGUUGAAAUCUGUGUUCUCUGACCUCAAGGAACAUGAAUGAAUAAUUAGAAUAUAAUAAAACUGUGCUAGUAGGUACAAAAUGUGAGAGCCCAGAACAUGCAUAUAAAGCAAACAUAUCUGUAAACUUCAAGGAAGACUGGGAAAUGGUUUAAUAAAAAUAGAUACAAUGUUAUGGCAGAUAUUUAAAAAGAUGCUCAGAUAUUAUGUGUCAAGGAUCAUCAGCAAUCAGCAAAUCAUUAAUUUUGAGAACUUGGGAUCACAGACUCUAAUGUUAAGUAUUGUGCUAGAAGCCAUGUACAGAGAAGUAAAAGUAAGAUGAUCAUACUUUUACAAUCUCAAAAUAAGCUUACGUAGACAAAUAAGAAUGUUCCUAAGAGGUCAGUGAGACCAAAUAUUUGAUAUCAGAUCCUUUCCAACAAUGUAGAGGCAUCAUAUUUGUAGAUGUAAAUUACAGUUUUCAUUCCUUAUGAGCCUAAAUUUCAGCAUCAAAAUGUUAAAAGUGAUAUGUGAAUACAGAUAUCACAGUGUAAACCACGAUUAAUUUUCAAAUGAGUUGUAGAAUUAAAAUAUGUCAAGUAUUUAGAGGAAGGGAAGAUCACUGACAGAGUAGACUGGAAAGACUUUAUAAUUAGGAGCUUGACCUGUGAAGGACAGAUAGAUAGAAUUUAUUGAGAACUUACCAAGCUCUUUACAUCUAAUUCAUAUUUGUUCUUUAUAACCCUGAGAGGCAGAUUUUUGUCUUACAUCUCCAUUUUAUAGAUGAGAAAGCUGACAGAAGUUACUUGCCCUGAGUCACACACCUAGGAAGUGGUAGAAUUAGAUUUCAGAUCUAGCCCUGUCAGACUGUAAAGACCAUCCUUUGAACUGUAAAUGGUAUAAAAGGCAUACAGAGGAAAUGCCAGGCAUCCUCAGUGGCUUAAAUACGACCUCACAGUAAACUCAGGCUAGACCAGGGAUGACACAUAAAAGUUGAUAGUUUUCAUUUGUGUUGCCAUCAGCCUCCUCUAUAAAUAAACCCAGAGUAACCACAAAUUGCCAUCCUGAGGGGUUCAACAGGGAAUAGUCUCAUAAUGGAUUUAGAGUGAAGGAUGAUUGGCAUUGUUAGGCAGGCAAGCAGAGGGCUGAGCAGUCAAAUAAGAACAGAAUUUCAGAACAAAAGAUUAGAGGGCAGAAAUGCUGUAUGUGCUGAUAGAGUCAGAGAGGGCCCGGAUCAAGAAACUGCAGGAAGAGAAAACUAGAAACCUAGAAUCAUCUAGAAAGCUAGAACCUACAAUCGUCUCAGAACACAAAGGAGGCUUCAGGACUUAGCAGACUGACAUAGAUGUACUUGGACAACACCUCACCAAGGAGCAUGUCUCUUCCCACUCACAAUCCCCAAUACGAGAUUCACAGUGGUUCACGCUGAGUCCACAGGAAAAAUUGGCCUGGGGUACAUCAUCUAAAGAUCGUAGGAUUGCUUCAGGUCAGCAGUCUCCACUGGAAAAAAAGAUCUUGGCUUUGAUUUGUUGGAGAAACUGUUACCAGAAAAACAGGUCCCGAUCCCGACCCCAAAAGAGUAUUCUUGGAUCUUGCACAGGAAGGAAUUAAAGGUCUAGCUCUGUCUCCUCAGCACAUGUUCUAGGCUCUGACUGCAAGCGCUGACUUGGGCUCCCGGCCCCACACAGACCCUCUGUUCCAUGAAAGGACCAUCUAUGCAAAGUGCCCCCCAAAUGCCAAAGGAGCCAAUAAACCAAGGAACAAGACAGACAAAUCUAGUUUGUCAGUAAAGAGUGUUUUAUUGGGGAACUUACAGACAGAAGCGUGGUCUUGGAUGGCAGCAAGACAGGUCUCACAAAGUUUUAUAGCUUCAAUGAUUUCACCUGGGCCAAGAUUUUGGUUUUUUUGAUGUUAUUUGUUUGAACUGCUGCCUGGGGCUUAGAAAAGUGACUUGGAUAUUUUGUCAAAAUGGAUUUUCUUCGAUGGAAUGUGAAAUCCGCAAACACUCUGCUUUCCUGCUGUAUCCCCAGAGCAGCCUCAUUUGGCCACAGGCCCAGUGUCAACACCAGGGGGCGCCACAGACCAUGAAGGCGCCCACAGACCACGAAGGCACUGUGCAGCUGGGAUUGUUUGUGGUCGGCUACUGGGUCCCUGACUUAACCAGGGGAGCCAAGACCCUGCAGCCAAGUGGCCUGGAUUCAACCUGCAGCUCAGGUCUUACUGACACUUCUCCCCCUGGUGCCUCAGUUUCUUAAUCUGUGAAAUGGUGAGGACAUUACAGCAUUUACCUCUGGGGCGGGUUUCUCAACAGCAGCAUUAUUAACAAUUUGGGACAGAGAAUCUUGUGGAGUGGUCUGUCCUGUGCAUUGUGGGAGGUUUGGCAGCAGCACCCCACUCACCCCCUCCCACCAAUCCCCAUGUGACAACCGAAAAUGUCCCAGGAUUUUUAGGUCUCCUUUGGGUCUAGAAGCUGCACUUAGGCAUUUUCCCACCUGACACUUGAGUUCAUCUCUGCUUUGGUCCACAUAAGGCCACUUUAAAAAAAUGUUGUUUCUUUAAAGAUUCUAACCAUCUUUUAAACAAAUCCAUUUUCUUCCUCUAUUUCUGCAUUCAGUUAAUCCUUCCAAACCCUUUGUUUAGUAUAUCUUGAAAUGUAUCAUUUCCAGUUCUAGUAAUUAGCAUGUCUGACUUGCAUGAUAUCUGCUAUGACCCCUAGUAGAGCUCUGAUUCCUUUAGCACAGGGAAUGUGUUCUCAAUUCUGCUCUGGAUGAUGUAAAUCAAUUUAUUUUACUUUACUUGUCUGGGAUGUUGCUCCUCAUCUGUAAAAUGUAAAUGUGGAUAUGGCUUGGAUUACUAAGUGGUUUUAUUUCUUCAUUCACCUGACAUUUGUUGUGUACCUGCUGCAAGUCAAAUACAUGGCAUGGUAUUGUUUCCUUGUUCACACCACAGCAAAUGAGAAAAUGAGACAUUAUAGCCAGGUGUGGCGGCACAGGCUUGUGGUCCUAGCUACUCAGAAGGCUGAGGCAGGAGAAUUGCUCCAGCCCAGGAGUUUGAGGUUACAGUAAGGUAUGAUAUCACCAUUGCAUUUCAGCCUGGGCAACAGACCCUGUCUCUGAAAAAAGGGAAAAAGACCUUGUGAGCUGUCUACAUGUACUCUAUGUCUCAGGAGACUCAUAUCCUGUAAUUUUUCUAAAUGGCAUCUCCAUGUGGUCUUUCAUGAAUGUUUGUCUGGUAUUUAUUCUCUAUCCUUUUACUUUCAACUUUUCUUUACCUUCUACUGAAAUUAUGUCUUUUGUAAACAGCCCAUGAUUAGUUAGUUAGUUAGUUAUUUUUACCCCCCUGCACUAUUUGUCUUGUAAUUGGAGUGUCUGAGUCCAUUAUGUUUAAUGUAAUUAUUGACCUCGUUGGGUUUAAGUCUGUCCAUUGUCAUUUGCUGCCUUCUAAUAUUAUCUCUUUCUUGCUCAACUAUUUUUCUUAUGUUACCUUCUUUAGAUGAAUAAAAACCUUUGCAUUAUUGUAGUCUUCUAAGUGUCCUAAUUACACAUUCUCUUAUUAUUUCUUUAAUUAUCUGAGAAAGCAUAAUGAUCUGUGACUUAUUAUAACCAAUAGCAGACCAUAACUUCCCUGACUUUCACCUACCUGUGCACACAGCCCAGGGGAGAAUCAGUGCUCUGGCUCUGAGACACAGCGGUGGUGGGAGUGGGAGAGUGAUUGGAUGAUGAAUCUGUAGCUGCAGAGGCAUCUGGGCCCCUCACCUGCAUUCCUCAUAGAUGUCUCCUCCAUUGAAUGCCUGCGAUGCCCUCUCCUCUGUAUGCUCCUGCCAGAGUCUCCCCAUCUCCACUGACAGCAGCUCCACCCUUCUGCUCACUCAGUCCAGUACUGUGGGUGUCCUUGAUUCUUCUUCUCACAUUCAUUAGCAAGUGCUGUGAGUCCAUCUUCAAAUUCAUCCAGAAUCCCUUCACUUCUCACUAUUUCCCCUGCUCACACCCUAGUCAAGGUAAGCAACGUGUCCAUCCUAGAAUACUGUACUCCUUUCCCACCAUUUUCCGCACUGCAUCACUGGUUCCCCACCUCUCAAUUCUGUUCUUAGCACAGCAGCCAGAAAGAAGCUUUCAAAGGAUGAGCCCUACCAUGUCCCACUUUUCAAAACUGUCCUCCCCAUGUCAUUCAGAGCAAAGGUCAACACCCUUCCCACACCCUUCAGGGCUACCUGCUCUAGCCACACCUUUGACCUCACUUCAGUUUCUCUGUGUCCAGCCCUUCUGUCCUCUUCCUCAUUCCAGGAACACAGACAAUUUCCUGCCCUAGUGCAUCUGCACUGAAGGUUCCCCUGCCUGAAAAGAACUUUCCCAGACAUCUUUGUAGACAACUCCUCACAUCCCUCAAAUCUUUACUCCAAGGUCACAUUUGCAACAAGGCCCAUGCUGACCACCCAGCACAACAGCCACCUUCCUGUCCCCACAGCCCACCCUCUGGAUCACCUGCCACACAGCACUUGCCACCUUCUAACUCAAGCAUUUUCUGUUCCUACUCUGCUUAUACUAUAUCUAUCAUCUGCCUACAGAGGUGUCCAAUUUUUUGGCUUCCCUGGGCCAGUUGGGAAGAAUAAGCAUUGUCUUGAACCACACAUAAAAUACACUAAUGACAGCUGAUGAGCAGAAAGAAUAGAAAAAAGAAAAAAAUGUGUGUGCAUAAUUUUCAUGAUAUUUGCUACCACAGAUAAGCAAAACAACUUCUUACAUUCAAAGCUGUCCUGGGCCACAUGCAGCCCGAGAGCUGCGGGUUGGACAAGCUUGCAUCUAGAACGUAUACACCACAAGGCCAGAAAUUUUUCUGUUUUUACUUUAAUGAUGUUUUCUAAAUGCAAAAACAGUCAUAUACCUAGCAGACAACAAAUGUCAGUUGAAUGAAUGAUCACUGUAGAGCACCUCUGUAUUCUAAAGGCAAUAUCUUUAUUAACGUAGCUAAAGAACAACAUCAUCUCACACCAACAUCAGUGCUGCCAGUGCUUUUCUCACCAGGGCUGCUUGUGUGUCCUUCCCACCUCCUCCCGCACCAACCCUCCUGCACACUGCAGCACACAGCCAUAUUUUUCUGUUCAGGAAAGAUAAUCCUAGCCUUGUGGGUCCAAUUUUCCAACCCCAUAUAAAUCUAAAUUAGACUCUGCUUUAUAAAUGCAUGAGUUUGGAUUGGAGCCAGCACUGGGAUUACUACAACUCAGGCAGGAAGAAGAGUAGGAGAGCAGAAGAGGAGUUCCAACAGAAAGUUACCUACGAUGAGAAACUAUGGGACCCCUCCUCUCUGCAAAUUUCAGAAUCUGCUUCCUUUAAGAAGGUUGGGGAAAAAGAUGGAAAAUACAGUCCAGGAAAGAGACCUGGAAGGAGGGCAAAAGAUACAGGGGUCUGAAAAUUUGUCUCUUGAUACCGGAAGGACUUCGAUGUGUAGGGACCACCCUAGGUGACAUCCAAGUCCCUGUGAUCACAGAUCCUGGUGGGACAAGGUUCUACUGAAGGGCCAAGGACAAUGGAGCAGCAAAGAUGACCCAGGUGAGCUGUGACCACAUAAAGCCCAUGGUGGCCUGAGCACACACUGGGCACAGCCCCAUCUACUCUCCUCCCCUGCAACAAAUCAGCACAAGAAACACGUGGACUCUGGAAGGUUCUCAUGUCUUCCAUUUAUUUUGUCUCUCAAAUUUUAGGAAUCUUCUCCUUUAACCCAUCAACCUGUCAUGGAAAUAAUUUGAAAAAAGUAAAUUUAUACUCAGAUUCUAAUUUUAAUAGGGAAGUAAGAAGUUACAGCUCAGUGCACCAUGAAGUUGAGACAGAGAUGGAGACAUCCCAGCACCACUUCUCUGGAACAGGAAAGGUGAUCAGGGAAGGAAUGUAGAAGGCACUACCACAACCGCCCACUUCUGGAAGGUUCCAUCCCCUGCGGGCCUGGUCUCCACGAGCUCCAUGUCCUGGGUCUGGUCCUCCCCAUCCCGCUGCCAGGUCAAUGUGAUCUCCGCAAGCCCGGGAGAUCUACAGGAGAUCGAGCAGGCUCCCCAUGGCCCCUGGUACCCGCGCGCUGCAGCGUCUCCUUCCCGUUCUCCAGGUGUCUGCGGAGCCACUCCGUGCAGGUGCCCUCCAGGCAUACUGCUCAUACCCGCGGAGGAGACGCCCGUCGGGCCCCAGGUCGCAGCCAAACAUUCCCUGGAGGAUGUGAUACGCUGGCCCAGUUCCCGCGGUCAGUCCCGCCCACCGAGCCCCGGCCCGGCCCCUAGCAACCUGCGGAGAUGUUGGCCUCAACUGAAGAUGAAACCAGGUAAAGGCGCCUGGGGCUCUCCCGGGUCGAGGAUCUCUGCAGGUCCCGCAGCCUCGGGGUCGAUCUUGGACCCGGAGACUCAGGGGACCAGGGCCGUCCGUGAGGCAUGGAGCGGGGAGUAAGUGAUCUGCGCCCCGGGCCGGGGUCACUCACCCGCCUCGCUCUGGUUGUAGUAGCGGAGCAGGGUCCGCAGGUUCAGUCGGUCAGUCUGUGCCUGGGCCUUGGCGCCCAGUGUCUGUAGGUCCCAAUACUCCGGCCCCUCCUGCUCCACCCACCGCGCCCGCGUCUUCAUCCUCAGACUCACGGCGUCACUGUCGACCCGCACGAACUGCGUGUCGUCCACGUAGCCCACGGCAAUGAAGCGGGGCUCCCCGCGGCCGGGUCGGGAAACGGCGGUGCUGAAAUACCUCAUGGAGUGGGAGCCUGGGGGCGAGGAGGGGCUGAGACCCGCCCGACCCUCCUCCCGGCGCGGCUCCCCGGGUCCUGCGCCCCAGCCAGACGGACCUGUCGCUCCUCACGGCAGAGGCCGUUUCCCUCCUGACCCCGCACUCACCCGCCCAGGUCUCGGCCAGGGCCAGGGUCCCCGAGAGCAGCAGGAGGAGGGUUCGGGGCGCCAUGACCCCAUCGUCGGCGUCUGGGGAGACUCCGAGUCCCGGUGGGUGCGUGGGGACUUUAGAACCGGGGCCGCGCGACGCUGAUUGGCUUCCCUAGAAACCCGACACUCAGUGGGAGUGAGAACUGGGUCCGCGUCGUGAGUGUCCAGGAAGAAGGACCCGUCGCAGGCUGGGAGAGGGAGAAGAGAAACUCUGCGGAGAUGGGGAAUCCCCAACGCUGCACCUCCCCAGCCCAUGCACCGCCUUCGGGGCCUGAGACCCUGAGAGCCAUGCCUGGGGCUCUGGGACUUCGCCCUGACCCCGCUCCUCCUGUGACAAACGCUCUGUCUCAAUGUCCCCUGAGUCUUGGCCCAGGAGCUGUCCGAGAAACCAGGAAGAAACCCUCGGCUUGGGCCCCGUCUCUCUCCCUUCACUUUUCAUCCGGGAAUUCCUGUCCCUGAAAUGGACUACCUGCUUCGCCACUGCUUACCUGUUCCCCUGGACUCUUCUAGAAGAAAACUCACCCCAGGGAGCUUGGUGCCAGAGAGGGAGCUCUCCCUGGGAAUGGAGGUGUAGAGACAGAGCUUUUUUUCUUUUAUUUCUUUUUUCUUUUUCUUUAAAUCUGGAAAAGUUGUGCCUGGGUGCAUGAGAUAGUAUAGAGACCAGUUUGCUUUUUGUGUAGUAACUACAGUGGGUAGCAGAAUCUUGGUAACCCCUGAAUGAUCAGGAAUCUAAUUGGUAAAAACAUGUGACUUUGGCCUCUUGAUAUAUAAAGUGUCUAAAAGCAUUACAACAGGACUCACAAAGCUCCUAAGUUUCACUUUUGCAAACAAGGUAUCUGUGACUCCCGCUUGUGGUAUUUUAAAUUUACCUUUAUUCCAUAGCCCUGAGUUUCUGUGAGUCCAGGACAUCUCCUCAAUACAAAGUAGCCACUGUGUUCCUAUGUGUUGCAACCAGGAGUCAGUACAGACUUUAUUCACCUCAAAGUUGCAAGCGCUCGAUGCAGUCACAAUGCCCAUCACCAGUGCUCAUGCACUGCCUGUUUUUAGGAAGUAUCCACAUCUAAGUGGUGUGUAUAUUUCUUAGGAACACUUAGUAUUUUUAAAACCUGAUUAACAUAAAAACAAUUAGUUUUUAAGCAGACCCACUUAAGGUAUUAAAGGCCAACUGCAAGUAACACGCUGCAAGGCUCUGUAGAUGGAUCUAUUGAAAUACCAUAAAAAAAAAGUGUUCAAACCUAA